Molecule: ribosomal RNA, 248 nt
Filed under: uncultured bacterium
Lineage: Bacteria
Description: partial 16S ribosomal RNA
Rfam family: Bacterial small subunit ribosomal RNA
Source: RNAcentral
UACGAAGGGGGCUAGCGUUGUUCGGAAUCACUGGGCGUAAAGGGCGCGUAGGCGGCUUUUCAAGUCGGGGGUGAAAGCCUGUGGCUCAACCACAGAAUUGCCUUCGAUACUGUUAGGCUUGAGACCGGAAGAGGUGAGUGGAACUGCGAGUGUAGAGGUGAAAUUCGUAGAUAUUCGCAAGAACACCAGGGGCGAAGGCGGCUCACUGGUCCGGAUCUGACGCUGAGGCGCGAAAGCGUGGGGAGCAA